Molecule: long non-coding RNA, 210 nt
Filed under: Carica papaya (papaya)
Lineage: Eukaryota; Viridiplantae; Streptophyta; Magnoliopsida; Brassicales; Caricaceae
Description: long non-coding RNA (CPAP_LNC001000)
Source: RNAcentral
UGAGGGUGAAACGGGCCGUCCCCAUACCCCGUCCGGUAUGGGCGCCAAAACACAUAAGAUCUCCAUACCCCGUCCGGUAUGGGAGACCACAAUCCCGGUAGGGUUCCCUAUGGACCCGGUCCGUCCACCAUCUCCCAAGAUAUCUAGUCGGGCUGAACACAUUAUACAAUUUCCAUUCACAUAAUCUUUCAUUCUCCUUUUCCCUCAGUC